GGGAAGUGUAAUUGUGCCUAAUUUGCCUUCGACGAUUUUCAACUUUUUGGAUCAUGAAGAUUGGCAAAUUCAUUAUUCUGUUGUUACUGCGAUUGGGGUUAUAUCGGAGGGUUGUUCAAAGGUGAUAGUAAUAUGCUCAAAGGAUAUGAAGCACCUUGUAGAGACUAUAGUGAAACUAAUCUUUGAUAAUCACCCUCGUGCGCGAUGGGUAGUGAUUCAUGCAGUUGGUCAGCUAUCAAUACAUAUGAGCCCGCAGUUUCAAGAACCAUAUCAUUAGCUGGUUCUUCCAGAUUUGAUAACAAUAUUGGAUGAUUUUGAUAAUCCCAGGUUGCAGGUAAAUUCUUGAUGUGAUGUUGAUGUUUCAAUGUUAUAGCAUCUUGUUAAUGACAUAUGACCGAUGUAUUGACUCUUUGUUCUCUAGUUGAACAGUUAUAUAGCGUGGCAAGUACAUGUCGUUGCCUACUAAUCUUUCUUGUUUGAAUAGGCACGUGCAACUUUAACGAUACUGGUGUUCAGCCACAAUUGAAGUGCAGAUAUUUUGAAACCUUACCUGCACAAUAUAGUGAGUAAACUAGUCAUGUUUCUACAGAGUGGAAUGACAAUGAUGAACGAAGCAGCUCUGGAAACUUUAGGAUCUUUAGCUAUUCAAUCACAGGAGGGCGCUGCAUACAUAUAUGAUUCUGUAAUGCCUCACCUGAAAGUUAUCUUGGUAGCUGCUACUAGUGAUACAAGUCAAACGCUCCAUGCCAAAUACUU
This is a long non-coding RNA of Capsicum annuum, 756 nucleotides long. RefSeq lists it as uncharacterized. The record is from RefSeq and is a predicted model, not a curated record. Lineage: Eukaryota; Viridiplantae; Streptophyta; Magnoliopsida; Solanales; Solanaceae. The transcript is spliced from 3 exons.